CAACUAUGCAGGCCUACAUCUUCACACUUUGAAGAAAACAAGAAAGAAGUCAGUGAUGAAAAGGAGUCAAGAUAAAUAGCUGCUGCUCAAGAGGAGAAAAAUACAUUCCAGACAGGUUUUUUUUAAUGUACCAAUGUGGGUCAGCUCAUGGCAGGGGAAAAGUGCUUUGACGUGAUGGACUUAUGUGGACUCCAGAGAGAAGGCUGUAUAGGCAAUGAAGGGCCUUCGUACCAAGAGCUACAGUCUUAGAAAUCAAAGUCUGAGAAACCUUUGUUCAAGAUGAGCUCUCAAGCACUCAACAUAUACCGUAAAAAAAUAAUCCCAUCUAUCAUGAAAUUCCAUAAAAAGGAGAGCUGGAAUACCAUCCCUCAAGAAAAACUCAUGCUUUUUCUUCUUGUUUGGAAUUAUUAUUAUAAGAAAGGAAUAAAAUUGUAACAGUGCAGGGGGUAUUUCAAAUGUAUAUAUUUUCAAGGAAAUAGAUGUUCCAAGAGGAGACAUGGAACCUUGGAAAAAAAAAAAAAAAAGAAGAAGAAGAAGCUAACUGGCAUCUGUGCCAUGAAACCAAGUGGAAUUCAGAGGGAAACAAAGACUCAGAAGAUAAAUGACAAGCAUUGCUGGGAUCAGCCUCUGCUGAUGAUCUUUCAUCCUAACUUUCCACAAUAGUUUUUCAGGCUUCCUUCCAGAGAAUGUACUGC
This 695-nucleotide long non-coding RNA is filed under the name Sus scrofa (pig). RNAcentral's name for it is "lncRNA (ENSSSCG00035034966.1)". Lineage: Eukaryota; Metazoa; Chordata; Mammalia; Artiodactyla; Suidae. The record is from RNAcentral.